CCUACGGGUGGCAGCAGUGAGGAAUAUUGGUCAAUGGACGCAAGUCUGAACCAGCCAUGCCGCGUGCAGGAAGACGGCUCUAUGAGUUGUAAACUGCUUUUGUACGAGGGUAAACGCAGAUACGCGUAUCUGUCUGAAAGUAUCGUACGAAUAAGGAUCGGCUAACUCCGUGCCAGCAGCCGCGGUAAUACGGAGGAUUCAAGCGUUAUCCGGAUUUAUUGGGUUUAAAGGGUGCGUAGGCGGUCGGAUAAGUUAGAGGUGAAAGCCCGAGGCUCAACUUCGGAAUUGCCUCUGAUACUGUUCGGCUAGAGAGUAGUUGCGGUAGGCGGAAGGUAGGGUGGAGCGGUGAAAUGCUUAGAGAUCAUACAGAACACCGAUUGCGAAGGCAGCUUACCAAGCUACUUCUGACGUGGAGGCACGAAAGCGUGGGGAGCAAACAGGAUUAGAUACCCCUGUAGUC
RNAcentral lists this ribosomal RNA (460 nucleotides) under uncultured bacterium. RNAcentral describes it as "partial 16S ribosomal RNA". It matches the Rfam family "Bacterial small subunit ribosomal RNA", at positions 338 to 795 of the family's 1533-position model. The record is from RNAcentral.